AUACGUAGGUGACAAGCGUUAUCCGGAUUUACUGGGCGUAAAGGGCGUGUAGGCGGUCUUGCAAGUCAGAAGUGAAAUUCCUGAGCUCAACUCGGGCGCUGCUUCUGAAACUGCAGGACUUGAGUGCUGGAGGGGAUAGCGGAAUUCCUAGUGUAGCGGUGAAAUGCGUAGAUAUUAGGAGGAACACCGGUGGCGAAGGCGGCUUUCUGGACAGUAACUGACGCUGAGGCGCGAAAGCGUGGGGAGCAAACAGGAUUAGAUACCCUGGUAGUCCACGCCAUAAACGAUGAAUACUAGGUGUAGGGGGUAUCGACCCCCUCUGUGCCGACGUUAACACAUUAAGUAUUCCACCUGGGGAGUACGGCCGCAAGGCUGAAACUCAAAUGAAUUGGCGGGG
This 397-nucleotide ribosomal RNA is filed under the name uncultured bacterium. Its description in RNAcentral is "partial 16S ribosomal RNA". It matches the Rfam family "Bacterial small subunit ribosomal RNA", at positions 523 to 918 of the family's 1533-position model. The record is from RNAcentral.